AGGUAGGGGAGAAAGAAGCGAUCCUGGGAGGAAAUAGGGAUCAGGUUGCUCAGAGUAGGUGACCACUGACCUGGCUGAAGAAGGGCGAGGAGAUGUCCGCACAGAAAAAGGGCCUAGUGAGGGGAAAGCCGUGUCAGGCGGAGGGAACAGUCCUAGUAAAGGCCUCGAUGUGGGAAGGGCUCGCUUCGAGAGCCCCGGACCCCACCCCUAGGUCCCUGCCUCCCCUCUUUCUCACCCCCCGCCAUCCUCCCCCAAGGUCACCCAUCACUAGGCAAGCCUGGGGGUCGCCGCCUGCUGGCGACCCUGACAGGCAUGUUAAUACCAAACUUUGAGUCCUUUCUGUCGGACUUAGUCAGGGCGCAGCGAGUCGUCUGGUCCCCCCCCACCGGCUGCAGUGGCUUCUUGUCUGCAGAAGUUUGGGCAGAUAGCAAGCGUCCUUGAGGCAGUAAGGGUCAGUCCGCACUCUUCGCGUCUGGAGAUCUGGGUGAAACCGCCGUGACACCUCCAGUGUGCAGUUCUCGGGAGGUCCCUGGAUUCCUAGAAGUGGGUUCAGGGAAGUGAUCUGCCAGCCAAGAUGAUGAAGCCGGGAGCAGCUGUGCCGUGGAGCUGUCAGUGCCUCGUGGAGAAGCAAAGACGGCGGCUGGGUGUGCUUUGGUCUUCUCUUUUAUUCCUCUGAACCACAGAAGAAUUUCUUUAUACACUCGUCUGCCCACAGGAAAUCUACCCUAAGACCUGAUGCAUGGAACCCCAAACACUGCGGACAAAACUGAGCAAGAGACGC
Long non-coding RNA from Bubalus bubalis (water buffalo), 781 nucleotides. RefSeq lists it as uncharacterized. The record is from RefSeq and is a predicted model, not a curated record. The transcript is spliced from 3 exons. Lineage: Eukaryota; Metazoa; Chordata; Mammalia; Artiodactyla; Bovidae.